RNAcentral lists this ribosomal RNA (307 nucleotides) under Escherichia coli. Its description in RNAcentral is "partial 23S ribosomal RNA". It matches the Rfam family "Bacterial large subunit ribosomal RNA", at positions 2366 to 2672 of the family's 2925-position model. Lineage: Bacteria; Pseudomonadati; Pseudomonadota; Gammaproteobacteria; Enterobacterales; Enterobacteriaceae. The record is from RNAcentral.
AGCUUGACUGCGAGCGUGACGGCGCGAGCAGGUGCGAAAGCAGGUCAUAGUGAUCCGGUGGUUCUGAAUGGAAGGGCCAUCGCUCAACGGAUAAAAGGUACUCCGGGGAUAACAGGCUGAUACCGCCCAAGAGUUCAUAUCGACGGCGGUGUUUGGCACCUCGAUGUCGGCUCAUCACAUCCUGGGGCUGAAGUAGGUCCCAAGGGUAUGGCUGUUCGCCAUUUAAAGUGGUACGCGAGCUGGGUUUAGAACGUCGUGAGACAGUUCGGUCCCUAUCUGCCGUGGGCGCUGGAGAACUGAGGGGGGC